Molecule: ribosomal RNA, 441 nt
Filed under: uncultured bacterium
Lineage: Bacteria
Description: partial 16S ribosomal RNA
Rfam family: Bacterial small subunit ribosomal RNA
Source: RNAcentral
CCUACGGGAGGCAGCAGUGGGGGAUAUUGCACAAUGGGGGGAACCCUGAUGCAGCGACGCCGCGUGGGUGAAGGAGUGCUUCGGCAUGUAAAGCCCUAUCGGCAGGGAAGAAGCAAGACGGUACCUGACUAAGAAGCCUCGGCUAACUACGUGCCAGCCGCCGCGGUAAUACGUAGGGGGCGAGCGUUAUCCGGAUUACCUGGGUGUAAAGGGAGCGUAGACGGGCAAGCAAGCCAGUGGUGAAAGCCUGGGGCCCAACCGCGAGACUGCCCUUGAAACUGGAAGGCUGGAGUGCGGGAGGGGCAGGCGGAAUUCGUGGUGUAGCGGUGAAAUGCUUAGAUAUCAGGAAGAACACCGGCGGCGAAGGCGGCCUGCUGGACCGCGACUGACGUUGAUGCUCGAAAGCGUGGGGAGCGAACAGGAUUAGAUACCCCAGUAGUC